CCCUUAGAUGUCCUGGGCCGCACGCGCGUUACACUGAUGCAUUCAACGAGCUUAUAACCUUGGCCGAGAGGCCUGGGCAAUCUUGUUAACGUGCAUCGUGAUAGGGAUAGAUUAUUGAAAUUAUUAAUCUUGAACGAGGAAUUCCUAGUAAACGCAGAUCAUCAAUCUGCAUUGAUUACGUCCCUGCCCCUUGUACACACCGCCCGUCGCUGCCCGGAACUGAGCCGUUUCGAGAAAGCCGGGGACUGACGGCUUGUGGGUGCGCAAGCACUUCUUGCCGAUGGAAACCAGUUUAAUCGGUAUGGCUUGAACCGGGCAAAAGUCGUAACA
This 330-nucleotide ribosomal RNA is filed under the name uncultured eukaryote. RNAcentral's name for it is "partial 18S ribosomal RNA". It matches the Rfam family "Eukaryotic small subunit ribosomal RNA", at positions 1470 to 1796 of the family's 1831-position model. The record is from RNAcentral.